Molecule: transfer RNA, 77 nt
Filed under: Actinomycetota bacterium
Lineage: Bacteria; Bacillati; Actinomycetota
Description: Actinobacteria bacterium tRNA-Met
Rfam family: tRNA
About the family: Transfer RNA (tRNA) molecules are approximately 80 nucleotides in length.
Source: RNAcentral
GGCGCGCUCGAUCAAGUAUUUGGCUCGCUGGGCUCAUAACCCAGAGGUCGUAGGUUCAAAUCCUGCCCCCGCUACCA